UUUGUAUGAGGAUUUGGUGUGGAAAGUAAAUAAAAUUGUUAUGUAUUUAUAGGGAAAACAUCCGUAAUUUUUUGGUAUUUUUUUUUUUAAAAAAUUGAAUUUUUUUCCAUUUUUUUCGCUUGUUGACGUCAGCACCUUUGGGCUUGAGCCCAGGCAGGAUCUGCCCUUGGGCUUGCCAAGGCUAGUGGGACCCAGGGCUUGCCCGGGGUGGAUUGGUAGCGUUGGAGGUCCAAACUUGGCGUGGGGGGGCCUGUUGCCCUGGCAGUCCUGCGCUGGACAUGCUCUUAAAGUUCUUCCAAGGCAGUGCCAUGUCC
Molecule: long non-coding RNA, 314 nt
Filed under: Prunus persica (peach)
Lineage: Eukaryota; Viridiplantae; Streptophyta; Magnoliopsida; Rosales; Rosaceae
Description: long non-coding RNA (PPER_LNC007123)
Source: RNAcentral